GACGAACGCUGGCGGCGUGCUUAACACAUGCAAGUCGAACGGUGAAGGUGGAGCUUGCUCUGCUGGAUCAGUGGCGAACGGGUGAGUAACACGUGAGUAACCUGCCCCUCACUUCGGGAUAACCUCGGGAAAUCGUGGCUAAUACCGGAUACGAGGCACCUUCGCAUGGAGUGUGCCUAGAAAGAUUUAUCGGUGGGGGAUGGACUCGCGGCCUAUCAGCUUGUUGGUGGGGUAAUGGCCUACCAAGGCGACGACGGGUAGCCGGCCUGAGUGGGCGAACGGCCAAACUGGGACUGAGAUACGGCCCAGACUCCUACGGGAGGCAGCAGUGGGGAAUAUUGCACAAUGGGCGCAAGCCUGAUGCAGCGACGCCGCGUGGGGGAUGAAGGCCUUCGGGUUGUAAACCCCUUUCAGCAGGGAAGAAGCGAGAGUGACGGUACCUGCAGAAGAAGCGCCUGCUAACUACGUGCCAGCAGCCGCCGUAA
RNAcentral lists this ribosomal RNA (485 nucleotides) under uncultured bacterium. Its description in RNAcentral is "partial 16S ribosomal RNA". It matches the Rfam family "Bacterial small subunit ribosomal RNA", at positions 28 to 523 of the family's 1533-position model. The record is from RNAcentral.